This 359-nucleotide transfer-messenger RNA is filed under the name bovine gut metagenome. It matches the Rfam family "transfer-messenger RNA". From Rfam's summary of the family: Bacterial tmRNA, also known as 10Sa RNA or SsrA, is named for its dual tRNA and mRNA-like properties. Its role is to liberate the mRNA from a stalled ribosome. The record is from RNAcentral.
GGGGGCGUAUUGGUUUCGACGGGGACGCAGAGGUUGGAAUAGCGUGCGGAUGCGCCUGACAUCCAUAAAACGGGCAAUUAUAAAUCAAAUAACGAAGAUUCUUACGAUCUCGUAGCCGCUUAAGGCUGCGCGUCCGCUCCGGGAGGGCCACAGCCCGGAUGUCGGGCGUCACUCAGUGGCGGACGUGAGUGCGCUAAGCUUUGCGCGCACCAUGCACAAUGAAGCUACCUGACCGGCAGGCGUGACGGCUUGCCUCCCGGAAAGGGAAUCGGCCUUCGGGCCGCAAUAACCGUCUGCGCACGGAGAGGUUCCUGCUGAAACGUUUUCGGACGGGGGUUCGACACCCCCCGCCUCCACCA